This 468-nucleotide ribosomal RNA is filed under the name uncultured bacterium. Its description in RNAcentral is "partial 16S ribosomal RNA". It matches the Rfam family "Bacterial small subunit ribosomal RNA", at positions 28 to 507 of the family's 1533-position model. The record is from RNAcentral.
GACGAACGCUGGCGGCGUGCUUAACACAUGCAAGUCGAACGGAAAGGCCCUGCUUUUGUGGGGUGCUCGAGUGGCGAACGGGUGAGUAACACGUGAGUAACCUGCCCUUGACUUUGGGAUAACUUCAGGAAACUGGGGCUAAUACCGGAUAGGAGCUCCUGCUGCAUGGUGGGGGUUGGAAAGUUUCGGCGGUUGGGGAUGGACUCGCGGCUUAUCAGCUUGUUGGUGGGGUAGUGGCUUACCAAGGCUUUGACGGGUAGCCGGCCUGAGAGGGUGACCGGACACAUUGGGACUGAGAUACGGCACAGACUCCUACGGGAGGCAGCAGUGGGGAAUAUUGCACAAUGGGCGGAAGCCUGAUGCAGCAACGCAGCGUGCGGGAUGACGGCCUUCGGGUUGUAUACCGCUUUCGCCUGUGACGAAGCGUGAGUGACGGUAAUGGGUAAAGAAGCACCGGCUAACUACGUG